UCAUUCAGGCAGCAAAACUCCUCUAUUUCCUGUGAGUGGCAGACUGCCUUGGGCUGGCAAUAAACCUGUCAGGGAGAAGAGAUGAGAGGAGAGGGAGGAAACAGCUUCUACGUCACAUUUCCCUUCAGAUUGAGACGGCCUGUUGCUCUCACAGCUUCUCACUUCAUGGUUUUUGCUUCAGUACCGCAGAGAUGGCCCAGAAACUCAUGACAAGCUUUGCACAGGACCUUCUUCUCUCCCAACAAGGCAACUGGGCCAAUGCAGAGCCCUCAUUAGUUAAAAAUAAGUUUUAAAAAAAUCCCUCAGAGUUCACGUGUUUACUCGAAUUGAGAUUUUCAGUGUCAAUCACUGAAAAUUUAGAUUCGAGUAAAUUAGUUCAAGUUAUGUGGCGAUCCCAUUUCCCAGUUCACGGUGUUAAAGUUAAUAAAAGCAACACCAUAAAUACA
Poecilia latipinna (sailfin molly) is the source of this 446-nucleotide long non-coding RNA. RefSeq lists it as uncharacterized. The transcript is spliced from 2 exons. NCBI's taxonomy places the organism in Eukaryota, Metazoa, Chordata, Actinopteri, Cyprinodontiformes, Poeciliidae. The record is from RefSeq and is a predicted model, not a curated record.